CACGGAUCCCAGAAUCUCAGAGUCUAGUUUGUGGGGAAUCCAGCUGGACAAGGAAGGUGGCUUUAUUUGCUCCAAACCAAGACUGAAUGGGCGGAAGCUCUUUCUCAAGCCUCUCCUAACUCCAGGCACCAGGAUGCUGACAUGCCACCAGAGGAAAGUGUGGCCUUGGGGAAUGUGAUUUUCUCUGCCUGCUCUUUUUAUCUUCACCAUCAGCAGCCUGGCUUCCUUGGCAUGGACGCAAGCUUGGUCAUCAAGAUUUCCCAGGUUUCCUGUCCUACAGCUUUCACCACUGGCGACAAACUGCAGAUGUUUCUCGGUUAUAGACCGAAAAGUCCCAGAGAAGAAUGCGAUUGGCAACCACUUGCCCAAUCCUGGAGCUUCCCAGUGUUGCCAGGAGAGCAGAGAUUGUCAGAAAAGUUGAAAUCAUGGCUCUAUCUAUUCUGAUUGCCCUGAUCAGAUAGGGACAAAGGGGGAGAUGGAGAUUUUCUACCCUGACCUGGAUUGGAGUUACACAGGCAACUGCUUUGCAAUUACUUAUUAAUCUAUGCAUUUAUAUUGUAAACAUUUUUCAGUAUGAAUGCUCUAUUUCACGACAGUUGUUUAGUUUUCUUUAAGUUCAGUUCUGGAUCAAAAUGAAAAAACAAAGUUAUCCAUAAAAAAUAUCCAAUUUUGCUCCUUAAAAAUGAUGUCUUGGGGCGGGGGGGGGCGCUGCCUCAACUCUGCACCUCCAUUUUUUCCUCUGGUGACAGCAAGUUGAUCAUAGCCCCCAUCGGGCUUGUCCCAAGGAAUAGCUGAGAAAGUGCCUAACAGAGGAUCUUUUAAGUUUUUAAAUAUAUGUAUGUAUGUAUAUUAUAUGCAUAUUAAUACAUAGCUGUGGAAGAUGAAAAUAUAAGUCAUUGACAUCAAGGAAAGGAGAGGGAAACGAAUUCUGAAUCAUGUUCCUUAACAGCCCUCUUUUCUUAUUUCUCUAAAAGGGCAGAGGGAGCAGGGGAGGGACUUGGACUCAAGACGAUAUCAUUCAAAUUAACUAAUUUGACAGGAGGAGGAUCCUAAUAACCAGCAAACCCCCAGAUUUCCCAAAGAAGAGCCACCAGGCAGUGUGGGAGUCCCCUGGUAUAUUUGGGAACCCCAGUGGAAUACAGAGGACUUGAAGAACUCUUUAAUUCCCCUCUCCUUCUGGCCUGAAGAAAAUGAGUCCAGACUUGGAGAACAGACUUGUGGUUGCUAAGGGGGAGAGGGAGGGAAUGGGAUAGACUGGGAAUCUGGGGUUAACAGAUGCAAACUAUUGCUUUUGGAAUGGACAAGCAAUGAGAUCCUGCCACGUAGCACUGAGAACUGUAUCUGGUGAUGGAGCAGGACGGAGGAUGAUGUGAGAAAAAGAAUGUGUAUGUGUAUGUGUGACCGGGUCACUUUGCUGUCCAGGAGCAAAUUGACAGAACACUGUAAACCAACUAUAAUGGAAAAAAAUAAAAAUCAUUAAAAAGAAAGAAAG
RNAcentral lists this long non-coding RNA (1492 nucleotides) under Sus scrofa (pig). RNAcentral's name for it is "lncRNA (ENSSSCG00030017359.1)". The record is from RNAcentral. Lineage: Eukaryota; Metazoa; Chordata; Mammalia; Artiodactyla; Suidae.